GAAGGUAUAACUCAGUGGUAGAGUGUGUGCUUUGUAUGACAACAUCCUGGGUUCAACGCCCAGUAACUUUA
This 71-nucleotide transfer RNA is filed under the name Camelus bactrianus (Bactrian camel). It matches the Rfam family "tRNA". From Rfam's summary of the family: Transfer RNA (tRNA) molecules are approximately 80 nucleotides in length. Their secondary structure includes four short double-helical elements and three loops (D, anti-codon, and T loops). Further hydrogen bonds mediate the characteristic L-shaped molecular structure. tRNAs have two regions of fundamental functional importance: the anti-codon, which is responsible for specific mRNA codon recognition, and the 3' end, to which the tRNAs corresponding amino acid is attached (by aminoacyl-tRNA synthetases). tRNAs cope with the degeneracy of the genetic code in two manners: having more than one tRNA (with a specific anti-codon) for a particular amino acid; and 'wobble' base-pairing, i.e. permitting non-standard base-pairing at the 3rd anti-codon position. The record is from Rfam by way of RNAcentral. RNAcentral also lists the same sequence under 2 other names. Lineage: Eukaryota; Metazoa; Chordata; Mammalia; Artiodactyla; Camelidae.